This 168-nucleotide ribosomal RNA is filed under the name uncultured Blautia sp. RNAcentral describes it as "partial 16S ribosomal RNA". It matches the Rfam family "Bacterial small subunit ribosomal RNA", at positions 339 to 524 of the family's 1533-position model. The record is from RNAcentral. Lineage: Bacteria; Bacillati; Bacillota; Clostridia; Lachnospirales; Lachnospiraceae.
CUAGGGGUGGCAGCAGUGGGGAAUAUUGCACAAUGGGGGAAACCCUGAUGCAGCGACGCCGCGUGAAGGAAGAAGUAUCUCGGUAUGUAAACUUCUAUCAGCAGGGAAGAUAGUGACGGUACCUGACUAAGAAGCCCCGGCUAACUACGUGCCAGCAGCCGCGGUAAU